Molecule: long non-coding RNA, 6276 nt
Filed under: Sus scrofa (pig)
Lineage: Eukaryota; Metazoa; Chordata; Mammalia; Artiodactyla; Suidae
Description: lncRNA (ENSSSCG00055019388.1)
Source: RNAcentral
AGUUCUUAAAAAGGUGUUUCAAAAUAAGUGGCAACUUUAAUUAAAUGUUUUUUUAUUAUGUAGGGGAGGGGAUGGGCAAGACAUUUGGAAAUAAUUGUUCUUAUGGAAACAUUAUUUAUACAGUAGCAUCAAUGACUUACUUUAUAUUCCUUUCUUUACAUUUUAAGAAAAGGAGCCUUUCAUAUUUGUUUGAGGAUAAAAAUGUUUUUACGUUUUUAUACCUGGUUGACGGAGUACUUUGUCCUUCUCAUAGCUUUAAAGGACCCUGAAUCCUGUUUCGGCACAUGCAGAAUAAAAGUGUGUCUCCUCUCCCCACUCCACUCUUGUGAUGCAUGUCUUUUAUUAAUAGGGAUACAAUUCUGGAAGUGAUAAAUUGAGACUUGGCUCUCAUUGCUUCACACAAAUAUGGCUGGUGAAACUCCAGUAUGUAGUUCAUAUGACAGAUUUCAAGAUAGCACAAAUUGAAUCAAGUGUUAUGACUCAGAACACUCUGAGGGUUAAUUAAUGUAUGUCUACAAAAAUAAUUUUGGGGUAAAAAGGCUACACAAUGGAAAAGUAUUAGUAUAGUGAUGCUCGCAUAUAGUAAAAGUUGUACAGGAACUAUUUUUAUAGCCAUCUUUCCCUCUUUUCAAUGCUUUCUCUCUCUCCCCUUAUCUAAGAGAUCAUGCCCUACUUUACUUAAAUCUUCGGUUAUCCAGGAGUUGGCUUCCUCUGCUUUUGGAACUUGUGAAGCAGCUGGGUAGUGAUGCUAAUCGGGGCUGGUUGGAACUGAGGAUGAAGGUGAGGAGGCUGGCAAGCUGUCACUCAAAGGAGUUGCAUGGAGUCUUGCCAAUGAGAACCAGACCAUGGCAGGAAUUAUAACUGAAGAUAUGAUUCACAUGUAUGUGUGUGUGCACACACAUAGUCACACAGACAGGCGUACACAUGAAACCGCUGAGUAAAGCAGAGUAUUCCCUGAGGAAAAUGAGAAAUAGAACUUCCCAGAAGUCAACAGUGACAGAGUUUGUUCAUUCAUGUACUCUCUCAUGCCUCUGUUCUUUCAGUAUUUGUGUAAUCUCUACUCAGUGCUCUACACCGAAGAAGACAUUACAGGAUCAAAAUGGCCAAAUGUUUUUAAGAAAGUAGAAUUAAUUGGAGGCACUAUUUCCAUAUGUCUAAGAUUAAAUCAUAAUAAAAAAAAAGCCAAGGGUUUAAUGUCUUUAAAAUGCCGUCGGAUACUACCAGAUCUACGGAAAAGGCCCACUCAUUUCUGAAGGAGUUUUUCUUUGAGGAUUAGCUUGUCUAUAAAAUUUAAAAAAACUAAACACAUGGUGAGAGGCUAUGGGUGAUGGUUCCUCUCAGGACAACUGGUAACAUUCCCAGAAUUGAUUCUCUUGGGAUCCAUCACUAGAAAUACAGGGAAGGCAGGGCAAUAAUGACAUAACUUGUUUGUUAACUUCCUUCUGGCUGCCUGAGAAAUACAGCAAACCAUUUUGUGUUUGAUAUGUACUAUAAAAGGUUGAGAAUAGUAAAAGGGAAAUAAAGCAUUACAUGGAUUUCACUGACGCACAGAAAAUAAACUUCUUGGUUCCUGUUUACCACCCACAUCAGUUUGAUUCUCCAAACUUGCUGUAGCUCUGUAUAGACUGUUUAAAAGGUUAGCUGCCAUGACCCUGAUACGACAAAGAGCUACACAAGAAGGCGAGUGCCAGCAGUGCAUGAACAGGAAAAUGUUUAAGCCUUAAAGGUAGAAACACCACAACAGUGGAUUCGAGUAAAAUGUUUCCGCGAGUUCAACUCUGGGAGCGUUUGACGGGUUGUCUUCCCAGAAAGAGAGGAAGGAUGUUGUCUUUAUGUGGAUGCGGUGGUUAGAAAGUGAAUGUAUUAGAUUUCCCAAAUAAGCAUCAUUUUGAGCAUCAUGUAUUCCAUUCACACCAGGGGCACUGAUUUAUAAUUACCCUAACGGAGCCCAGAGUGGGGAGAAAUGGCUGUUCCCAUCGACUUCUUCUUAGGCACCGAGUACAUUGGUCACCCACCACCUCAACCACAGGGUGCAAGUGAGGUUUGCUGAUUUCAGCUUGCUUACCAUGGAUGUGCAUUUCUAGGUCACUGAUUCUGGCACAGCAGUGUUCACGGCAAGCAGUGUAUAUAAAGGGGAAUUUACAUGCAGGACGGCUGGCAUAGCCGGAUGGACUUUGGCUUGGCCUGCUUGGGUAACUAACUGUAAAUGAAGCCUGGGCAUUUCCAGAUCGUGUCCUCGCUAAUGAAAAAUGCAUUUGUGUUUGGAUGUACCGAUGUCCAAGUAUAUUAAACCAAAACAUAUACUGAGCUGGCAACAUGGAAAAACAUCUAUUAUGAGUAGCGAGAGAAGGAGUGCCUCAAAUGUCUCCUUUAGCUCUGAAUUCUGUUCCCUAUUUUAUUGUGAGGGGAGUCUAUUAGCAAAAAAGAUAAGAUUUAAGAUAGAAACCUUGCAAGUAACGUUAAGUAGCUGUCUAUCAGAGCAUAUCAUCUACGAGAUGCUGUUAGCGGUUUGACUGAAUUCUAGCAGCAUAUACUUUUACUUAUCUUUCUGGGUUGGUUGCAUUCAGCCAUGAUGGUAUUCAGAUUGUUGACACAUGAUUUGUGAGAGGAUUUAGCUUUCCUUAAACUGCAACAUGAAUACUGAAAUGGGAAUCUAAUCUUAAAACUAGUGCAGGGCAAUUUGCAAAAGCAUCUUAAAACAUGAGUGUGGGGAAUCUUGAAACAUCAGGAAGAAAAUAUUUUUCCUAGUGUCAGGAAAAAACACUGCAGGAAAAGGAGGGUCAUUAGUAGCUGAUUUGCUGAACCAGAUGGGGCUUCGUGACAUGUUUAAGGUGAUCCCAAGAGUGGUAUUUGCUUGAGGCUACAAAUGCUAUCUUUGUAUCAAACUCUGAAGCCAGUGCUGGAAUAGAAAAUAGAUAUCUCAUUCUUUAGGUAUUUUUAGGCGUUAUUGAUUCUAGCUUCUAUAUUGAGUUUAUAAAAACAAAUCAGGGGCCUGAGGGGCCGCUGCCUGUUGUUGCAGGAUCACUGAGGGCAAGCGGUUCUUAGGGUAUUUAGAAACUAGUUAGGUACAAACACACACUGUGUGUUUGCAUAUAUGCAUAUACAUAUAUCCGUGUGUGUGUACACAUAUAUUCACAUGUAUGUGUAUGUGUUUGUAUGUGUGUACGUUUGUGUGUGUGUGUGUGUAUGUGUGGUGCUUUGAAUGAAGUGGAAAAACCCUGGAGUCAUGGCUUCCAAGGCAGUCUCUGGGCUUUAACCUACAGAUAUUGUGCGAUCUUGGGCAAGCUCUCUCACUCUGGGAGAUCAGCUAGUCAUGAGGAUCCUGCCCUUAGCAUCUGACACCUUCUUGGAUAACAUAUUUUGAAUCUGCUGAGGAAAAGGGUUGAGGGUUGAUAGUAUGUUUGCUCUGUAUUUAAACUUUCAAGCCAAAUGGGAGUCUGCAAUGUGCCUGACACUCUUCUAUGGGCACUGGGGACACUAUAGUGAAGAAAACAGAUAAAAGAAGGUGACAUGUGACUACUAAUUUGAAAGAGGCAAGAGAAGGAGGAAGGAACAUUCCAGGUAAAGAGAAAAUCAAUUGCAGAGGCCCCGAGGUGGGAGUGUGCUUGGCAUAUUUGAGGAAGAUCAGGGAGCCACUGUACCUGGAGUAAAAAAUGGGGUGAAAAGUUACCGGUGAAGUCAGAAUCUUGUAGGUCAUUGAAAGGGCUAUUCGCUAUCAUUUGGGACCCACUUUAGAGUGUUGAGCCUGGAAAGUGACAGGUGUGACCUGUGGUUUGAAUACAUCUGCCUGUACCCUAUGGUGAGAGAAGAUCUAGGUGGCUGGUAGGAGAGGAAGUGGGGAGAAAAGUUAGGAGGCUGUGGGAGUAAUUCUGCAAAGAGGUGAGGGUGCUGAUACUGAGGUGCUAAUGGAAGAGGUAGUGAGAAGGGGUCCGAUUCUUGAUAUAGAUGGAAAAAAUGGAGCUAAUUGGGUCACUAAUGCUUUGGAUGUGGGCUAUGAGGGUGAGAAGACAAGCAGGGCACCGAGGGUUAUAGCACUGAGACUGGAAGGAUGAGAUUUCCAUUUGCUAAAAUGAGAUGCCUAUUGGAAGAGCAGGUUUGGGAGACUAGGAAUUUGUUUGUGUGGGGGGAAUGCAUUUAAUUUCUGACCCUGCAAGUUUGUCGUAUCUCUAUUUGCAAGGCAAGUAGAAACAUCAAACAGACAGCUAGAAUUUGGGCAGACGCUGGGAAUUGUUAGUAGAUAGGUGGUGUGGGAAAGCCAUGAGGUCUCCGAGGAGACAGUGUACCCACACAUGUGGACGACGUCCUUGGGCAAAGCCUGGUGACCCUACAGUGUUCGGAGGUCAGGGAGAUGGGGAAGGACCAUAAAAGAAACUAGAUGAGUGAUCAGUGAGGAGGAAGGAAAAGCAGGAACAUGGGGUGACCCGGCAACCACGCAAAGGAGGUGUUUUGAGAGAAUGAUCUGUUAUGACAAAGGUUGCUAUUCAGUCAAUGUGGGAGAACACGAUUUAAGACAGAAAUGGUGGGGGUGGCGGGGGAAGGCUUUAUACUUUAAUUUCUCCAGCGGGGAUGAGGGGCUGUUGCCUCUUCUGACUUGGCAAAUCGUAGAAAUUUUGGGCUUUCUCUACCCCCCACCCCCCUUAUUUUUGUUUUUUUCCUGUUUACAGAUGGAAAUUCUUUUCUGAGCUAAUCUCUUAAAGCACUUUGUCAAAUGCACCCACUAAUAACCGGCUCACGCUUUUAACAUUCUGUUUUCCAAUUAUGUUCUGUGGAGCUACAAUACGAUGAGGUACAUGAACUGUCUCAGAAAUUGUCAGACAAGAUUAUUUACCAAAUAAUUUGUGACGGCAUAAUAUGGCCUGCCAUCUCUCCAGCUUGUCAUGUGAUUUUCCUAACUGCUUAUUCUCUAAGCCAAGGCUACACGAGAGUUUAGAUUUUAAGGUUUUUAGCAGGGACCCCUUAAGAACCAAAUGGAAAGCUAGGCAGUCCCCCAGUUCUGGUGGCCGAAAAGAGUGAGCCUUUGUCUUCCACUCACACAAAGGCUGCGGCAGGAUUGGGGGGCCCCCACAGUGACUAUCUUCCAUUUCACGACUCGGCCUGGCUGAGUCCCUGCGGGUAGUGAAGGCCGUGUUGGAAAGAUGAGCAUCCAAAGUUAGGGUCUUCCAGGAGGAAGUUACAUGCGUGCUCCUACCCGAAACCAGAUGACUGCUUCUAAUUUCGAAGGCUUAGAGAAGAAUAAGGUAUCAGAGAACAGCUGCAGAGCCUGCCUCGGAAAUAAUCUGUUUUUACUAUAUUUUGAGAGUCACAAAUCAGUGUAAAGCCAUGUGAAUUGACUUUUUAUCUUCUUACCUAAUAUCGAGGUGAUUUCUUGAAGAAAAAUUUUGCUUCACGGCUGGGUCUGAGGCUGUAAAGACAGAAUAGCCAGCAUAUUAUGAACAGGGUUGCCUCUGGGAAAAGCCCCUGAGAAGAUGGAAUGAAAUGAAACCAAACUCUCUGCAGUCAAGUGCUGCUCUGUUACUUCCCAGCUGUGUGUCACUGGUCAAGGUAGAAUUGCCAGAUGUAGAAUAUAAAAAUACCAGCCUCCAGAAUUGUCAGAAAAACUUCCUUCCUGAAGCCACCCAGCCUGUGGUAUUUGUUAAUGUAGCCGGAGCAAGGCAGACCCACAGGGACCUCUGGAAGCAGAGUCCCAUCCCUUUCCCCCAGCAGACACCAUCCUCUGCCCAGGGGAAGAGUUCUGCUUACCCUUUUUCUGACAAAGGAAUAUUAUAGAGACAAAGCUGGAAAAAACACGUCACCCUGUGAAGGAGCUUUGGUUCAGCUGCAGAGCUAAACUCUUACCUCUGUGCUAAAUUGGAAUUGGCCGUGAAUGAUUAUGAAAAUCUGCCGUUGCUGAAGGAUCUUAUUGGAAACCAAAGACAAGAACAGACAUUUCUUGGUGUCGCUGUGUCCUAGCAUGUGGUCUCUAUACUUGGGCUCCUGAAUGCUUUCCUGUGCCUUGUUAAAUGUAUUGUUUUUCUGGACCCCAUGAAAGAAAAAAAUGCUUAAAAAAAAAAAAAAAGAUAAGCUCUGGGCAGUACAGUGACAAACUCCUGCAUAUACUUUUAACUUUUCUUCUGAACCCAUUGAAUCUGUGUAUUAAAAAUUACCAUUAUUUGUUUAAAAUUAUGUUAAAAACACUGUUCUUCUCCCUCUUGUCUAAACAUAUUUAGUCUCUUAUUUGAAUUAGCUUCAUAUCUUUGUUUCAGAAUCCGAUUUAACUUGAACUUAUACUAAACCUUU